UUAUGCUGAUAAGAGCGUAUGGUGGAUGCCUUGGCACUAAGAGCCGAUGAAAGACGUGAUAAGCUGCGAAAAGCUUCGGGGAGGGGCAAAUACCCAUUGAUCCGGAGAUUUCUGAAUGGGGAAACCUACCUGAGCAAACCUCAGGUAUCCUGACGCCAAUCCAUAACGUCAGGAAGGGAACCCGGUGAACUGAAACAUCUAAGUAGCCGGAGGAAGAGAAAACAACAUGUGAUUCUGUGAGUAGCGGCGAGCGAAAACGGAAGAGCCCAAACCAGUGUGCGUGCAUGCUGGGGUUCGGACCGCGGAAUUGAUUCAACAAGUUUAGCAGAACGGUUUUGGGAAAGCCGGCCAGAGAGGGUGAAAGCCCCGUAAGCGAAAGACGAGUUGACAUGGCGGGAUCCAGAGUACCACGAGACACGUGGAACCUUGUGGGAAUAUGCGGGGACCACCCCGUAAGGCUAAAUACUACUUAGUGACCGAUAGUGCAUAGUACUGUGAAGGAAAGGUGAAAAGGACCCCGGGAGGGGAGUGAAAAAGAACCUGAAACCAUAUGUUUACAAGCUGUGGAAGAGCUUUAUAUGCUCAACCGCGUACUUUUUGUAGAACGGUCCGGCGAGUUACGCUGGCUGGCGAGGUUAAGCACUGAAGGUGUGGAGCCGAAGGGAAACCAAGUCUGAAUAGGGCGAAGAGUCAGUCGGAGUAGACCCGAAACCGGGUGAUCUAUCCAUGUCCAGGUUGAAGUUGCCGUAAAAGGCAAUGGAGGACCGAACCCACAUCCGUUGAAAAGGGUGGGGAUGAGGUGUGGAUAGGGGAGAAAUUCCAAUCGAACCCGGAGAUAGCUGGUUCUCCUCGAAAUAGCUUUAGGGCUAGCCUCAUACGAGUCUUGCGGAGGUAGAGCACUGAAUUCCUAAGGGGGCGUCAAAGCUUACUAAGGGAUAUCAAACUCCGAAUGCCGUGUAGAUGAUGUAUGGGAGUCAGACGAUCCGAGAUAAGUUGGGUGGUCAAAAGGGAAAGAGCCCAGACCAACAGCUAAGGCCCCAAAAUGUGUGUUAAGUGGAAAAGGAUGUGGGAUUUCGAAGACAACUAGGAUGUUGGCUCAGAAGCAGCCAUCCAUUCAAAGAGUGCGUAAUAGCUCACUAGUCGAGAGGUCCUGCGCCGAAAAUGUCCGGGGCUGAAACACACUGCCGAAGCUUUGGAAUUGAUGAAUUUCAAUUGGUAGAGGAGCAUUCUUAAAGAGACGAAGCAGUACCGGAAGGAGCUGUGGAUUUUUAAGAAGAGAGAAUGCCGGAAUGAGUAGCGAGAGGAAGGUGGGAAUCCUUCCGGCCGAAUAUCUAAGGUUUCCAGAGUAAAGCUGAUCUGCUCUGGGUAAGUCGGGGCCUAAGGCGAGGUCGAAAGACGUAGUCGAUGGAUAACAGGUUGAAAUUCCUGUACUAUCCUGUAACAGAACUGUGGGGACACAGGCAGAGAGCGUGAGCCGGGAAUGGAAAGACCGGUACAAGCGAGGUAGGAGAAGAGCUGGCAAAUCCGCUCUUCAAUCUGAAGACGUGAUGUGGACCGAAAAGAAGUAGGGAAGCACGUGAGCUGACUGUCAAGAAAAGCCGCUAUUGUUUGCAGGAUACCCGUACCGUAAACCGACACAGGUGGAUGAGGAGAGAAUCCUAAGGCCGACGGGAGAAGCAUUGUUAAGGAACUCGGCAAAAUGACUCCGUAACUUCGGGAGAAGGAGUGCCAGUAAGAUGGCCGCAGAGAAUUGGCCCAAGCAACUGUUUAGCAAAAACACAGGUCUAUGCAAAACCGAAAGGUGAGGUAUAUGGGCUGACGCCUGCCCGGUGCUGGAAAGGUUAAGGGGAGAGGUUAGCCGUAUGCGAAACUUUGAACUUAAAGCCCCAGUAAACGGCGGCCGUAACUAUAACGGUCCUAACGUAGCGAAAUUCCUUGUCCGGUAAGUUCCGACCCGCACGAAAGGCGUAAUGAUGUUGGGCACUGUCUCGACAGUGCAACCUCGUGAAAUUGAAAAUACCAAUGCAGAUGCUGGUUACCUGCGGCAGGACAGAAAGUACCUCCAUGGAUCCUUUAUUCCGACUUGAUACUGGGAAUUCCGGGAUUGUAUGUUCAGGAUAGGUGGGCAGGGCUUUAGAACUGGAUAC
Molecule: ribosomal RNA, 2147 nt
Filed under: [Ruminococcus] lactaris ATCC 29176
Lineage: Bacteria; Bacillati; Bacillota; Clostridia; Lachnospirales; Lachnospiraceae
Description: bacterial LSU rRNA
Rfam family: Bacterial large subunit ribosomal RNA
Source: RNAcentral